Molecule: transfer RNA, 75 nt
Filed under: Roseobacter phage DSS3P8
Lineage: Duplodnaviria; Heunggongvirae; Uroviricota; Caudoviricetes
Rfam family: tRNA
About the family: Transfer RNA (tRNA) molecules are approximately 80 nucleotides in length. Their secondary structure includes four short double-helical elements and three loops (D, anti-codon, and T loops). Further hydrogen bonds mediate the characteristic L-shaped molecular structure. tRNAs have two regions of fundamental functional importance: the anti-codon, which is responsible for specific mRNA codon recognition, and the 3' end, to which the tRNAs corresponding amino acid is attached (by aminoacyl-tRNA synthetases). tRNAs cope with the degeneracy of the genetic code in two manners: having more than one tRNA (with a specific anti-codon) for a particular amino acid; and 'wobble' base-pairing, i.e. permitting non-standard base-pairing at the 3rd anti-codon position.
Source: Rfam by way of RNAcentral
UGGCAUGUAGUCUUCCGGGUGAAGGCGCUCGGCUGUUAACCGAGAUUGAGGCUGGUUCGAGUCCAGCCGUGCCAG